This 389-nucleotide ribosomal RNA is filed under the name Meloidogyne enterolobii. RNAcentral's name for it is "partial 16S ribosomal RNA". The record is from RNAcentral. Lineage: Eukaryota; Metazoa; Nematoda; Chromadorea; Rhabditida; Meloidogynidae.
AUUAUUUUAAGAUUAUUUUUUAUUGUUGAAAAAAUUAAAAAUAAAUUGUUUUUAACAAAAAUUAAAAUUUAUAAUAUUUCAUUUUUUGGUUUUUUGUUUUAAAUUAAAAUAAUAAAUAUGGGGGAAAAAAAAAUUUUGUUAUAAAUUAUAUUAGUUUAUUUUAAUUAAAAAUAUUUUUUAUUAAAUUUGUUUUUUUUAUUUUUUUAUAAAAAAUAUUAAUUUAAUUAUUAUUAUUGAGUUUAAUUUAGUUAUUUUUAAAAAAAUUUUGUAUAAAAUAAAUUUGAUAAUAAAUGUUUUUUAAAUUCUUUGGGGGUUUAGUUUAUGAUUUUUUGUUUCUGCUCAAUGUAAAAUAAUUAAGCACUUUUAGCGUGAUUGGCCCAAAAGGUAAA